GAGGAAGCGAGCGCGGCGGGGCCGCCGCCGGGACCGUGCCCCCGAAGACCCCGGGGCGCGCAGCGGAGGGGGCGGCGAGGGAGGCCCCAAGCCAGGGUGACGACAGCUUGAAGAACCAGAGGCGACGGGAGCGGAGGCGGCGGUGGCGGCGGCAGCAGCGGCGUCCGGCUCUGCCUACCUCCCCGCCGCCAUCUUGACGCCCCUCCCCCAACCCCCCCGCCCCACGGGGAGGGGGUGGGGCGACGGAUGAGGCGCCGCGCGCACGCAGCGCGCGCCGCGCGACCCACGUGACUUCCUCCCUCCCCCCAACACCCUACUCCCUAGCACUCCUCUCCGCCCCGCCUCCGUCCUAGGUGAAGGAAGAUGAUUUCCACCCCCCCAUGACUGCCCCCUGCCUUCGCCGCCAAGCACGAACUCCGUCGCUCCCGCCGACCGGGUACCAGUGGUUGGAUCCAAGGGAAUUCCGGAACCCAAACGGUCCAUUACCGCGGCUCCCGGGUGGGCGAGGGG
Bos taurus (domestic cattle) is the source of this 510-nucleotide long non-coding RNA. NCBI's taxonomy places the organism in Eukaryota, Metazoa, Chordata, Mammalia, Artiodactyla, Bovidae. The record is from Ensembl.